This 257-nucleotide long non-coding RNA is filed under the name Equus caballus (horse). Its description in RNAcentral is "lncRNA (ENSECAG00000051783.1)". The record is from RNAcentral. Lineage: Eukaryota; Metazoa; Chordata; Mammalia; Perissodactyla; Equidae.
UAGCUCGGGAAGCAGACUCAGAGAGGGUGUGUGGCUUGCCCCAGGUCACACAGCGGGGCAGGGGCCCAGGGCCUAGCCUGCCAGUCCUGUUUCUGCCCCCAUCCUGGGGUUCUGGUGCAGGGUCUCCUGCCUGUGCUGACCAGCAGUAUUCAUGAGGUGCUGGACUGACAGCUCGGGUCGUGUUGUGUAAGCUGGCUUCGGUGCCUGACGAGAAUCCCAACGCCACCACCUCCUUGGGCCACUCAUCUGACCUCACC